UGAUCAUUUAAGGGCAUUAAAUUGGCUUGUUUUGGUCAGGUGUGGUGGCUGCUCAUGCCUGUAAUACCAACACAUUGGGACGCCAAGGUGGGAGAAUCACUUGAACCCAGGAGUUCGAGUCCAGCCUGGGCAACAUGGCACGAGACCCCAUCUCUAUUUCUAAAAUAAUAAUAAAUUCGGUUAUUUUGAAGCUUUUUCAAUUUGAGGAUGCUAUAAAAACUUAGACUUGUUGCUUGAAUCUUCCAUAAUAGUAUGUAGGAGCAAUUUCUCUAAACAGCAUUUUAAGUUAUUUAUUUGUGGGUUUUUAAAAUGUCAACAAAAUGCAUGGCAGUAUUUAUUUUUUAUAUCUUCAUAUAAAAUUAAGUAAAUUAUAGCAUUAUGAACAUUUUAGAACCAUGCAAGAGAAGUUAUAGAGAAAGUAAUUUAUGGUGAUUUUCAUAAAGCUUUAAAAUAUUUUCAUUUGGGCUAUAACAAAAUGAGUACAAAGGAACUAUUUAGCCUGGAGGGGCUUUUGUUAUUUAAAUGUCAGAUUUCUUUGAUACAUUCUUCAAAAAUAAUCCUUGUCCUGCCUCUAUGUUCCAUUAUUGUGUUUCUUUUUUUUUUUUUUGGAGACAGAGUCUCACUCUGUUGCCCAGGCUGGAGUGCAGUGGUGUAGUCUCGGCUCACUGCAAGCUCUGCCUCCCAGGUUCACACCAUUCUCCUGCCUCAGCCUCCCAAGUAGCUGGGACUACAGGCGCCUGCCACCACGCCCGGCUAAUUUUUUGUAUUUUUAGUAGAGACGGGGUUUCACCAUGUUAGUCAGGAUGGUCUCAGUCUCGAUCUCCUGACCUGGUGAUCUGCCCGCCUUGGCCUCCCAAAGUGCUGGGAUUACAGGCGUGAGCCACAGCGCCCGGCCUUAUUGUGUUUCUUGAAGAGAUUCCAAUUAGUUUUCAAUUAUUUAACCAAUUAGUUUUCAUUAUUGCUGUUAUAUUUAAACUUUACCAUUGGAAUAAUAUUGGUAUGCGUUUGAUAUUAGUCACUCGAUGUCAUCAUUAUUUGUAUUGGAAUGUGCUAUUCACAAUAGGUUAUUUAGAAGCUGUAUGUGGCAGUGGCCAAGAGAGUCAGUAGGACCUUCUUUUCAGAGAUAGGAAACUUUCUAGAAAGCCUGUUAAUGGGCUUUCAUUGAAAUUUCCUAAGAUAGCCAGAUACUGUCAUUCAAAAUAUCUAGAAAGAAGAAUGUAAAAAGUUAGAUAACCUGGGUCGGGUGUGGUGGCUCAUGCUUGUAAUCCCAGCACUUUCGGAGGCCAAGGUGGGCGGAUCAACUGUGGUCAGGAGUUCGAAACCAGCCUGGCCAACAUGGUGAAACCUCGUCUCUACUAAAAAUACAAAAAUUAGCUGGGCAUGGUGGCAGGUGUCUGUAAUCCCAGCUACUUGGGAGGCUGAAACAGGAGAAUCGCUUGAACCUGGGAGGUAGAGGUUGCAGUGAACCCAGACUGCACCAUUGCGCUCUAGCCUGGGCAACAAGAGUGAAACUCCAUCUCAAAAAAACCUGGAAUUCUCUUCCAUCAGAAAUAAAAGUAAAAAUUACAGGUAAAGCCUCUUCCAAACAAAAUAACUUAUUGGUAAUAGAUAUUUUAAUUUGUGAGUUGUAAAUACAUAAGAUUAAUAAAUGGUCUUUUAAACCUAGUGCUUUUAAUGUCUUUGUAGUCCAAAAAGAAUCUGGGAGUAGAUUUUCUCCUUUAAUACUGUUUUAUCAUAAUGACCCACAUAUAUCCAUUCACACAUGGAGCCUUCACUGUAAAAGUGAACGUACAUAGAUCUGUAGCUGCAACAACGUCCACUGAAAUGGAUCACUCAUUCUUUAAUAGAACCACUUUUAAAACAAAUGAGGUUUUCAGAAGUAACAUAGUAUGCACAGAAUUUUGGGGCUACUGGAAAGAAUGACAAGCACGGGAACAUCUACCAAAUGUAGAAUUGGUUCAGAUUUUAGCAUGACUAAUUGCUAGUCAUAUGUUGUUGAGAACAAUACUGAUUA
RNAcentral lists this long non-coding RNA (2014 nucleotides) under Homo sapiens (human). RNAcentral's name for it is "HSALNT0078417". The record is from RNAcentral. Lineage: Eukaryota; Metazoa; Chordata; Mammalia; Primates; Hominidae.